Molecule: transfer RNA, 72 nt
Filed under: Leucobacter aridicollis
Lineage: Bacteria; Bacillati; Actinomycetota; Actinomycetes; Micrococcales; Microbacteriaceae
Also listed under: 1 other name
Description: tRNA-Asn
Rfam family: tRNA
About the family: Transfer RNA (tRNA) molecules are approximately 80 nucleotides in length.
Source: RNAcentral
UGGUCUGUAGCUCAGCGGCAGAGCGCUCGACUGUUAAUCGAGUACGCGCAGGUUCGAUCCCUGCCAGGCCAG